UACAGGGGGUGCAAACGUUGCUCGGAAUCAUUGGGCGUAAAGCGCACGUAGGCGGUUCGUUAUGUCGGAUGUGAAAGCCCUUGGCUUAACCGAGGAAGUGCAUCCGAAACUGGCGAGCUAGAGUACGAAAGAGGAUCGCGGAAUUCCGGGUGUAGUGGUGAAAUGCGUAGAGAUCCGGAGGAACCCCAGAGGCGAAGGCGGCGCCCUGGCUCGCAACUGACGCUCAGACACGACAGCAUGGGGAGCGAACGGG
Molecule: ribosomal RNA, 253 nt
Filed under: uncultured bacterium
Lineage: Bacteria
Description: partial 16S ribosomal RNA
Rfam family: Bacterial small subunit ribosomal RNA
Source: RNAcentral